This 3896-nucleotide long non-coding RNA is filed under the name Podarcis lilfordi (Lilford's wall lizard). Lineage: Eukaryota; Metazoa; Chordata; Lepidosauria; Squamata; Lacertidae. The record is from RNAcentral.
GAGCAGCGGGGCUGUUGAGCAGUCAGCUGGGUCAAGCUAGGAGGAGGAAUCCAAAGGGGGGAGAUGCAGGACCAUGAGAGACGAGGAGCGAAGAGAGCCAGAGGAUGGAGAUGGGCAGGUCAGCAAGUGGGUGGCCCAGGUGAGGCAAGGAGGGGGGAAGCUGAGGAGGGAGGUGUGGACAGGUUAGUAGGCAAGCAGUCCAAGCAAACUGCAGAGGUAGGCAAAGUCGGGGGUGUUGGGUGUGUGAAGUGUAAAGGGAGGGGCAAGGGGGUUGAUAAGAUGAGGGUUGGUGGGUAAAUGAGCUUGGCAAGUGAAGUGACCAGGAUCACAACCACUACUAAGUCCAUCUUUUAGGAGGUUCUUUGUAUGUUGCUCUUUUCUUUUUUUAAAAUUUGGCUUUAACUUAUCUUACCUCUUUGUACUUUACUUUAUUAUUAAGUUGCUUUGAGGAUUUUUUUUUUUUUUUUGUAUAAACAGUUGUGCCCAUUGAAAAGAUGCCUAAUAUGUUGCUGUUAAAGACACAGGAAUUCUGUCAGCGGGGGGUGGGGAGUUGGCCACUCAACUAAUAAUAAUAAUAACAACAACAACAACAACAACAACAACAACAACAACAACAAUAAUAAUAAUUUUAUUUAUUUAUUUAUACAUACAUACAUACAUACCCCGCUCAUCUGGCUACGUUUCCCCAGCCACUCUGAGCGGCUCCCAACUGAAUAUUAAAAACACGAUGCUAUGUGGCACAUAGCCUAGGGUUGCCAACUUUUAACCCAGCUGCUGCUGGCUAAUUGGUCAUCCUAGAAGUAUAUCUACAGCAUAAGAAGAGUUAAUAACACCAGUCACACCACUACUUUCUUCUUACCUGAAACAGAUCCUGCCUCACUUUGCCAGGGCUUUUGUUUGGUUUUGGUUUUUUGCAGAGAACAUUCCAGUUUCCUUAAAGCAAACAGUUGUCACUUGAUUUCUUUUCUCUCUCAUCCCUGCCAAACUCUCUGGUCAACAUUUUGUUUCCUGGUAACAGCUGAGACACAGAUAAACAUCUGACACAUUGCUGGCAUUGCAGCAGCAGCAGCUUCUAGUUCCACAGCAACAGACGUCCCUGAUAUCCGGUCUUGAGAAGAAUAUGAACAAGAAGGAAGAUAAAUAUUCCUGUCUUCCCACCCACAGAUUUCAUCCAAAAGUGAUAUAAUAGCAACCUUCAACUCAGGUGCAAUUCAUAGAUCUUAUCUGCUUGAUUUGAAGUAUUUGUCAGGAAGGUCUCUGCAACCUAGCAAUGAAUUUGCAAAUGUUAUACUCAACUGAAAAUACAAAAAUUGUGAGAUACAUUUGCUCCAAACAUUCAUUACAACUGUAUUCAGCCAAUUUCAUAGAUGCACAUUAUAGAAAUUGGAGGGGGGCGAGUAAAGAUAAUUGGUCCAAAUAAAUUAAUCUUGGCAUUUCAUUUGAAGUCUUUCCCUAAGAAUUAUAGCUUGCCUUUUUCACACCCGGCCUCUGUCUCAGUGACAUCUGUGUUGUGCAGUGCUGGCUGGUGAGUCAGCAGAGGUAUUUAAAGAUCACUUUUCUCUUUUUCUAGGUCACAGUGCUCCUUCUGAGAUCUAAACCAGACCUGCCACAGAUGUCAGUCGGCUUCUGCAUGGUAGCUUUUAUCUUUGUGAAGGCAAGAGGCUCUCUGGUUCUCGUGUGCUGGUCAGGGCCUGUGGACUUUGUCAAAAUACUGAUAUGCUACAUCUUUCCCUAGAACACAGCGCUCGUGACGGAAGGGGUAGAAAAGCGGUUAAGAGCAAGUUGGAAAUAGUUAUAAGUUUUGGAUUUGGGAACUGGCAAAACAACCUUGGGCACCUCUGGAGAUAUUUUGUACUCAGAUCAAAGCAUAUUCUAUGUACACCUCUUGACUUCCAUCCAGCGCCAGCAUUCCUCAGGAGAUAGGAACAUUUCUGGCAUUCUUUUGAAACCGGCAAGGAGUAGGCCAAUCUUCAUGUCCCCUUAGCAGAAUUUACUCUUUAUGGAGGUAGAAAAUAGAGAGUUGCACAUAGCCUUAACCUCUCAUGAAGAUAGAAAAAUUGGCUGUUUUUCUGUGUGCGCAAAGUAGCACCUUUCUACAUGUUGGUAUCACCAGGGCUGGGCCCCCCAGGAGGCAGACUGAAGCAGCCCCCUGGAGUGGCAGAAUCCCACGGUCAGCCUGCCUGGCCACCACUGAGCCGCAUGGUGGUUUCUGCCAAGAUCUUGUGAGCUCUGUGGAAGCCACAGCAGUGGUGCAACCAUAAUAAGCAAGGUUUGGGCAGGUGUGUGUGUGCCUGUGAUGGUGAACCAGAAUGGGCCACCCCUGGGUAUCAUGAUGGUGAAAACCUUAGAUACAUUUUAUCUGUGUUGGAACCAUACAUCCUUGAUUCUUCCUUUAUCAAUUUUUUAUUAAUACUCCUGAAGGCUGACAUUCAGUCCCCAAACUUACCUGACAAGAUUUGGCAGUGGAACAUGAGUGGUAAUAGCAAAUAAUAAGGUGCCCCUUUAGACAUGUGUGAACUCAGGACAUCUCCUUCUCCAUGGCGUAAUCAGGGUGUACUCUUAGAUUGGGAUGACUUGCCUUGAUCCAGCACCACCGAACCUCCCCACAAAAUAAUAAUAAUAAUAAUAAUAAUAAUAAUAAUAAUAAUAAUAAUAUGUUUAUAUGCUGCCCAUUUAACUGGGCUAUCCCAGCCACAAAAAUAUAAUCUAGCCUCCCUGCAAACAAAUCAGGAUGGAUAUUCAAUAAACAGGUUGUCUGGAAAUGCCCUAGGUUGAAAGAGUGGUUGGAAUAAUCAAGAAUGCCAGCUUUCUUCAGAUUCCCACCAUAUUUUAUGCUGACAGAUCUGAAAUGCAACACAGAGAGCCCCAACCUUCUUAAGUGAGAUGUUUGAAUCGGGGAGCAGAAGGCUACCAGAGGGUCUUUUCCAAUGGUUUCCUUCUGUGUCUACCUGCAAACCUAAUUUUCUCUAUUCUAGCACAUGCUAGAAUAACCUCAGCAGGGUGAGAAUGAUGUGUGUUGGCAUAGCUCUGUCUGCAUUGGGAGGCCCAUAGUCACUAUUCCUGGACCCAGCAGGCAGCAGGGAGAGGCAGCAGAACUGAGCUGGCUAGGUGGGAACUUCAGGAGCUGCCAGGUGGGAUGUCACUAAGGAGGCUUUCACUAUCUGAACGUGCAGACUGGUGGCUCUUGGUGAUACCAAAUCAGCUGUUGCUCUAAACUGCAUCUGGCACUGCAGUUGACCUUCCACAUAUUCCAUAUUCUGUCCACACUGGUGAUUGUGGCAUAUCACUCUUGUUGAGUUGGAAGGAAAUACCCAAUUCUGAACAUGCCAAUUUAAAAAUCCAUUUUUGAUCAAUUUUUAAAAGCUCACUAAUUUAAUUUGUGCUAAAGCGUUUUUAGGCAUUCUUGUGUAAAAACUUAAAACUGUGCUUAAAACUGUUUUGGUUUUGUUACUAACUAAAAGGCUGACUGGAAAGAUGGCUUAAAAAACAACAGCCUUGCACUGAAACCCCUUUUCAAUUGCAGAAACUCACACACACUUUAGUGCAAAUUAAAGACUGAUUAUAAAAAACCAUGCUGCUAAAAUGGCACAAACAAAAAAAAUGUAAUAGUGUAUGUGUACAAAAAUAAAUACAUAGCCACAGGCAAAUUAUUUCAUCAUGUAGACAGCAGCCUGUAAAAAAAAAUGAAGAAAGUGUUGGUAAUUCAGAAUAAACAGCAAGUUUGUGAAAGGAUUCUGCAUGCUGAGAUUUUUCAGAUUAUUUUGCUACCCUUCCUAGAAUCUCUUGCUUAUCUUCUACCAACCCCUCAGUGGCAGAGGAAGCCCCCCCCCUCCACCUGUGAUAAGAUUACAAAGCAGGGAGAGAAUUUUGCUCAGAAAAUCUGCCCCCUUGACCUG